Molecule: transfer RNA, 71 nt
Filed under: Isognathotermes ugandensis
Lineage: Eukaryota; Metazoa; Arthropoda; Insecta; Blattodea; Termitidae
Also listed under: 1 other name
Description: Cubitermes ugandensis tRNA-Cys
Source: RNAcentral
GGUCUUGUAUUCAUUUUGUGAUUAUAGAAUGCAAUUCUGUAGGGGUAAGCUAGCGAGGCUUACCAAGGCCU